Molecule: microRNA precursor, 99 nt
Filed under: Marmota monax (woodchuck)
Lineage: Eukaryota; Metazoa; Chordata; Mammalia; Rodentia; Sciuridae
Source: RNAcentral
AGUGGAAUAGCUGGGUCAAAUGGUGGUUCCCCAAGUUUUUGAGGAAUCUCCAUACUGCUUUCCAGAGUGGCUGCACCAAUUUGCAGUCCCACCAGCAAU